RNAcentral lists this long non-coding RNA (639 nucleotides) under Triticum aestivum (bread wheat). RNAcentral's name for it is "long non-coding RNA (TAES_LNC004064)". Lineage: Eukaryota; Viridiplantae; Streptophyta; Magnoliopsida; Poales; Poaceae. The record is from RNAcentral.
UAGAUCUACCAGGGGAUUAAUCGAUGCUGCAGUUUAUUUCAGUGGGGGAAAUGAGAAGAGAAAUAAAAGACCCAUGUAAACAUAGUUGACCUCCUGAUACGCAGGAAGGCGUGGUGAAAAACUCUACUGAGAUUCGUGGUCUUCAAAAUGUGGCACGAGCUAGUAAAAAAGUUUCGAGUAAUGUGUGUGUACUGAUGUGAAGUGAAGCAACAUACUAUCACGGCUUGCUGCUGUCUUGCCCUAUGGGUAAAAAAUCUAUCCCGGCUUGCUGGUUCGGCUAUGACGGUGUCAGGCCCAGCCUUGAUCAUCCCCUGUUCCAGUGUGCCAGAAGUGCUUCAGUUCGUUGAUCGUCCAUCUAACGGCUCACCUGCCUGCGUACCGGUUCGUUAGCUGAAACGAUCUCCAGGCGUUCAUUGUUGAUCUAACGGCUGCGAUGGAUCGCUGUAGCUUUUCCGACAAGCCAUGUGCUCUGUUCACUUUCUGUUCUUCUUUUUCAGUCGUGUAAUGGCUAUAAAGCCACCCAUUCCCCUAAUUCUGAACCAUGUUGAAUUGUAUCGGGUGUAAACCCUAGCCGCCGGUGGCGUGCUGAACCUACUUUCCUCAUUUCUCAAGCAAGAACCCUAGUUUUGCGUCUCUGAA